CGAGUAGGGCCCAAGCCAGCCAGGAAGGAGGAGGCAGCCAGAGUGGCCACCACUGGUCUCUACAGCAGACCCCCUGCUGCCCUGCCCAGCCCAGCAUUUGCCAGGUUUUUAAGGUGGCUGGCAAUUUGAUGAGAUGCAAUAAAAAUCUCGCCAUGAGCUCACCAGCUGGCCAUGGGCUGGUCACAAUCUCUCAGCUCUAGCCAUCCUUCUGCAAGGUGGAAAUCAUAGUGACCUACCCUCCAGGGUUCUUUUUAAGGAUUAAAGGUAGAUAAAAGCCCUGUUCAGACAUUAUAUUGUACAAGUGUGCAGACAUCUGUACACUAAUACAUGUGUUUGGUUGAAUGAUGGCACUUGCAUUCUUUUAUAAAGUGAACCUGGGUACAGAUCCCUGAAAUGCAUGGUACAGAUAGGAAGCCCACUGCUGUUCCUGCGUUCAAUGUUAUGUGUGAAUAACUGUAAAGUAAUGGUAAAGUUGUGCUGUUGAGUCGGUGUUGACUCUUGAUGACCACAGAGCUAUCUGGUUUUAGUAGAAUACAGGAGGGGUUUUCUUUGGUAGAAUACAUUGCCAUCUCCCGCGCAGUAUGAGAUGAUGCUGAAAGCCAUCAUCCUAUAUUGCUUCUGCCCCAUAUAAGUGUUUCCCACAGUCUGGGAAACAUACCAGCGGGGAUUCAAACCAGCUGCCUCUUGCUCCCUAGGCAAGUUACUUCCCUGCUGAACCAUUAGGUAGCUCUGUGAAUAAAUGUACCUGUGUAUAUAUCUGUACCUGUGUACAUUGUACAUUUUUUGUACAAAUGUUGAACACAAUGUGUGAAUAGGAGUAUUGUUCGUUAUGUAAAGUGCUUUGACACUUGGAAGCACCAUAAAAGGCUUACUUGUUAGGUCUUGACUAUACCUCACACUAAGUCAUUGAGACACUCUUCUGGUAUUGAGCCAGUUUUAGCAAGCAUGACUAAAAAGCAUGACUUUUUAGCUAAGCAAGAUCUGACCUGGUUGCAUAUGAAUGGGAGACUACAUGUGUGAGCACUGUAAGAUAUUCUGUUCAGGGGAUGGAGCCGCUCUGGGAAGAGCAUCUAGGUUACAAGUUCCCUCCCUGGCAUCUCCAAGAUAGGGCUGAGAUUCCUGCCUGCAACCUUGGAGAAGCCGCUGCCAGUCUGUAUAGACAAUACUGGGCUAGAUGGACCAAUGGUCUGACUCAGAAUAUGGCAGCUUCCUAUCUAUCUAUAUGUUGGUCCAGAGAGUCUCUUAAUAUGGUGGAAGAGCAGGUGAAAGUCCCCAUCCUUACCUAAGGUAAAGUAGAGAACAGGUAUCUAUUUUGUGAUCCCAAUUGGCUUCCCCUCAAAAAUGGGUUCAAAUCAGACUCCAUAUAGUGCAACCACUUCUCAUGUUAAGCUUAGUUACAGUAGGGAAGGGGGUGCAUACCCACACCAUCCCAAUAACAGAGGGUUAUUGACAAUCUUUAUUUAUUUAAAAUAUUUAUAUGCUAUGCCUCCAGUGCACUACUGCUUGGGGCAGCCCACAAAAUUGGCAAUCUAAAUGUAUGGGUUGUAAUAGUUUCUCCCUCCCUCCCUUUCUCCCUCCUUUUUUUGCCCCUUUGGUCUUGCCAGUAAAUGUUAUCUCUAAAAUUUUCUUAACAUAGAACCCAACAGAGAUACAGUUUAUCUUCAGUUAAUAUCUGUGUCCAUGUAAGCAAACGGCAACUCUGAAAAGCUAAACCAUCAUAGCAAGUGUGGUACUUGCUGAGACAGCACCAUUGUGUUCAGCUGCACAGCAUGACCUAGCAAAAAUAACCAUCAGCAGUUGGUAUUUGUCCUGCCAAGGAAAAAAGAACCACCAGGAGCUCGAUGUUUGACUCUUCAGGCAGAGUUUAUAAGAACUAUGAACCAGGAAUGAAACACAACCUGCUAACAAUGUUCAAAGAGUACUGUAUUUAAUAGGAAGUGGCCACUUGCAGGGAGGGAAAAACACUAUAUUUUAUUUUUAACAUUCCAGUGCUUAUACUUCAUUUCUUACUGUGCAGCUUGUACUAGGUGUUACAAUUUUGUAUGUGUGUGUUAAAAAAAUGGUUCAGAUACCACUGCAGUUUGUCUGUUGGAACAAGGCUAAGCAACAGAAAAGAAAUCUGAAAUUGAUUCUGAUUUCCACAGAACUUGGCAAGCCACCAUAAGAAGACAAGGGAUUUGCAAUAAGAUGCAGUGUGAUGGUGAUGUGCUUAAGCACCUAAACAGACUAAUUUUUAAUAGGGUCUGUGGUGCUGAUAUACUGUCCCAUGUGAGGAAGGGGCUGGAGCUCAGUGGUAGAACAUAAUAUGCUUUGCAUUUAAUGAUCCUGGUUCAAUACAUGGCAACUACAGGUCACAGAGGACUCCUGUGUUCAGGUGACUAAUGGCUGAAUCCAGAAGAGCCAGGAGGAUCAUUGCUGAGGGGAGUAGGGCAGGGCAAGAACUUUGCUUGAAUCAUUGGAGAACUUGAAUCAUUGGAGAACAUUGGAAAAGAUGAUACUAGGCUAGAUGACCCAAUGGUCUCACAUAAGGUACUAGAGUUUUAUUUAUAUGUAUGUUAUAUGCUCUUUGUACUUCAUAUUUUGUAUUGUUUUCAUGUGUGUGUAUUAAAAUGUUUAAUCAGAUUUGUUUUAUAUUUUUAGCUUAAUAUUUUAAUUGUGUCAUUUUUACAAUUUUGUUUUUAAAUUCUGCUGUAAACCACAUUCGGAUUGUUUUAAUUUAAAUUUAACAAUAAAUAAAUAUGUUCAUAUGA
Long non-coding RNA from Hemicordylus capensis (graceful crag lizard), 2750 nucleotides. RefSeq lists it as uncharacterized. The transcript has 2 exons. NCBI's taxonomy places the organism in Eukaryota, Metazoa, Chordata, Lepidosauria, Squamata, Cordylidae. The record is from RefSeq and is a predicted model, not a curated record.